UCGAGAAUCUUGGGCAAUGCACGAAAGUGUGACCCAGCGACGCCGCGUGGAGGAUGAAGGCCCUUGGGUCGUAAACUCCUUUUAGAGGGGAAGAAUGGGCGCAAGCCUUUGACGGUACCCUCUGAAUAAGCCACGGCUAACUACGUGCCAGCAGCCGCGGUAAUACGUAGGUGGCAAGCGUUGUCCGGAUUUACUGGGCGUAAAGCGUAUGCAGGCGGGACUUUAAGUAGGAAGUGAAAGGUUGGAGCUCAACUCUAACACUGCUCCCUAUACUGGAGUUCUUGAGUGCCGGAGAGGAAGACGGAACGACACGUGUAGCGGUGAAAUGCGUUGAGAUGUGUCGGAACACCAAUGGCGAAAGCAGUCUUCUGGACGGAUACUGACGCUGAGAUACGAAAGCCAAGGUAGCAAACAGG
This 416-nucleotide ribosomal RNA is filed under the name uncultured bacterium. Its description in RNAcentral is "bacterial SSU rRNA". It matches the Rfam family "Bacterial small subunit ribosomal RNA", at positions 355 to 776 of the family's 1533-position model. The record is from RNAcentral.